This 511-nucleotide ribosomal RNA is filed under the name uncultured bacterium. Its description in RNAcentral is "partial 16S ribosomal RNA". It matches the Rfam family "Bacterial small subunit ribosomal RNA", at positions 28 to 507 of the family's 1533-position model. The record is from RNAcentral.
GAUGAACGCUGGCGGCGUGCCUAAUACAUGCAAGUCGAACGAAACUUCUUUAUCACCGAGUGCUUGCACUCACCGAUAAAGAGUUGAGUGGCGAACGGGUGAGUAACACGUGGGCAACCUGCCCAAAAGAGGGGGAUACACUUGGAAACAGGUGCUAAUACCGCAUAACCAUAGUUACCGCAUGGUAACUAUGUAAAAGGUGGCUAUACUACCGCUUUUGGAUGGGCCCGCGGCGCAUUAGCUAGUUGGUAGGGUAAAGGCUUACCAAGGCAAUGAUGCGUAGCCGAAUUGAGAGGUUGAUCGGCCACAUUGGGACUGAGGCACGGCCCAAACUCCUACGGGAGGCAGCAGUAGGGAAUCUUCCACAAUGGGCGAAAGCCUGAUGGAGCAACGCCGCGUGGGUGAAGAAGGUCUUCGGAUCGUAAAACCCUGUUGUUAGAGAAGAAAGUGCGUGAGAGUAACUGUUCACGUUUCGACGGUAUCUAACCAGAAAGCCACGGCUAACUACGUG